CGCCUGGGCCAACCGUCCCCCUCCCGCCUUCCCAGCCUCCUCAGACCAACCUGCCAUGGCCCAGCUGCUCACCCACUCCUCCCCAGCCCCGCGCCUCAGGGCUUGAGGGGACAUUCCCCGAGGACCGGCUUUAGUCUCUGGAUAAAUCAAAUAUAAAACGAAUACAAAAUAUUGGCAAGUAUCUACCAAAAAAAGCUAUUUAGCUUUCUUGUUACCUAAAAAGUACCUGAGAAGACCCUUAUAACCUGCUCCAAGAAAGAAACCCUGAGAGACCCUUCUAACUUUCUCCAAGAAAGAAACUCCACAAGUUAGUACACAUUAGCUAAUUUCAGAGAAAACAAUACCUGGAAAAGGAAAGUUCUCAAGAGCAUGAGCCUUGGAGUUUGAAUCCUGAAUUAGAAUGCCUGCUCAGCCGUCUACUGUUGGAGAACCUGGAGCAAGAUUCUUGAUGUCUUUGAAGCUCAACUUCCUCAUCAGUAAAUUGGAAUGAGAAUGCUUUAUCUCACACGGUUAAUGUAAGGAUUAAAUAAUGUAUGUAAAACAUAUCACAA
This is a non-coding RNA of Macaca mulatta (Rhesus monkey), 551 nucleotides long. NCBI's taxonomy places the organism in Eukaryota, Metazoa, Chordata, Mammalia, Primates, Cercopithecidae. The record is from RefSeq and is a predicted model, not a curated record.